This 253-nucleotide ribosomal RNA is filed under the name uncultured bacterium. RNAcentral's name for it is "partial 16S ribosomal RNA". It matches the Rfam family "Bacterial small subunit ribosomal RNA", at positions 524 to 776 of the family's 1533-position model. The record is from RNAcentral.
UACGGAGGGUGCAAGCGUUAUCCGGAUUUACUGGGUUUAAAGGGUGCGUAGGUGGGUCUGUAAGUCAGUGGUGAAAUCUUCGAGCUUAACUCGGAAACUGCCAUUGAUACUAUAGGUCUUGAAUUAUCUGGAGGCAAGCGGAAUAUGUCAUGUAGCGGUGAAAUGCUUAGAUAUGACAUAGAACACCAAUUGCGAAGGCAGCUUACUACGGAUCGAUUGACACUGAGGCACGAAAGCGUGGGGAGCAAGCAGG